AGCGAACGCUGGCGGCAGGCCUAACACAUGCAAGUCGAGCGCCCCGCGAGGGGAGCGGCAGACGGGAGAGUAACACGUGGGAACGUACCCUUUGGUUCGGAAUAACCCAGGGAAACUGGGGCUAAUACCGAAUAUGCCCUUACGGGGAAAGAUUUAUCGCCGAAGGAUCGGCCCGCGUCUGAUUAGCUAGUUGGUGAGGUAAAGGCUUACCAAGGCGACGAUCAGUAGCUGGUCUGAGAGGAUGAUCAGCCCCACUGGGACUGAGACACGGCCCAGACUCCUACGGGAGGCAGCAGUGGGGAAUAUUGGACAAUGGGCGCAAGCCUGAUCCAGCCAUGCCGCGUGGGUGAUGAAGGCCCUAGGGUUGUAAAGCCCUUUCGGCGGGGAAGAUAAUGACGGUACCCGCAGAAGAAGCCCCGGCUAACUUCGUGCCAGCAGCCGCCGUAA
This 447-nucleotide ribosomal RNA is filed under the name uncultured bacterium. RNAcentral describes it as "partial 16S ribosomal RNA". It matches the Rfam family "Bacterial small subunit ribosomal RNA", at positions 29 to 523 of the family's 1533-position model. The record is from RNAcentral.